AGCUCUUCUUUGUAGGGAGUUUGGGGGUUUGGUCAGAGGCAAGCAGGGAGAUUGGAGAUUGCUGAACUGGUUUUGCUGAGGUUUUACCUUCCAGAUCUGCUUUGUCCCUUCAGGAACAUGCUUGACUUUUGGCGGACAGCUGUGGGACUAGUAUAUAAAACAUGCUGUUUGCACUGCCCAUACAGUCCAACAUCUGCUGAAACAAGAGGCUGGAAUGUAAGGAGAAGAAAAGGGAGACAACUGGAGCUUUCUCCCCCACACAGAGGUAUCAGCACUGCACACUCACUCUGUUCCCUUCUGCAGCACUGACUGUAUCUCCAAAGCUCUCCAGCAAAUCCACUCAUCCAAUGCCAUCUGCAUUUACCAUUUCACAAAAACAUAAUUCAAGGUCUGAUUAAAACCAGAACAUGCUGCUUGUCAAGAUCCAGUCUAGGAUAUCAAAGGACCAGGCUGGUAGAGCCAGAAUGCUGUCUGGAGAUGGGUACAGGUUUUUGGGGAUGGAGCUGCAACCAGUUUCAACUUCUGCCAGCACUCACAGAUGCUCUCCCCACUAACAGGCAGUCCUUGCUUGUGCUGCCAACCACCUGGCUAGACAACACCUCAGCUGCUCCACUGACACCCCUUCAUGUAGCACCACACACCCCCAUCCUGCCUGCCAGCCUUCUUGGGAUAUGCUCAACAGCUUGAGUGUUGAGAACAUACUUACCAUAAGUUUUAAGAAGAGAGUUCUUUAAAAAUAGAAAGCAGGUGUCAUUACUUCCCCCCACCCCCCCAAGUCCCUCUCCUAAAUAAGCAUGUUGAGUAAAGAAUGGUACUUGAGUAAAGAUGCUCUCUUCUCCCCUUGCUUUCAACUCUAACAGACAUAUUUAGAAUCCAGUCUGGUAAAAAAAAAAAAAAACAAAAGUAGCAAAGGUUUCUUUCCCACCUCACAAAAGAGCAGUCUUCUGAUGGCAACCCACAAGGUCACACAUUUGUUGCUUAUCAUCAUAUUUAAUGGACCUAAGGACAUUUGAAGGACCUCUUUUUAUGAAAUGCAGAACAGACAUAGUGAGUUUUCUGUAUCAAUCACUGAGGAUUUGAGACACACCUACAGUAAGUCAACAAACAACAGCUUUUGUUGAGUUACUCCAUGGAAGAGUAAUUUAUUAAUCUUCUGUAUUGUGGGGAAAAACCUGCUUUCAUUGGACUACAGAAGGCAUGCAACAUUCUUCUAGUAUUAAGUUAUAAAACAUGCAUAUCUUGGCUUGGAGUUUGUUGAAUCUUACCACAGGACUCAUGCUUGGCAGUGUUUUGAGGUUGAUGUCUGUUCUCCUUUUUUUAGGUGGACACAUUAGUAAAAAAGGGCCUAAUAUCAGGGAGACAGACUAUGGUAAUGUCUAGGAGCUGGUGGGUCUCCGUGUGAAUAACUGGGUCUUUUCUAGUGCAAUUCAUGGCCCUCUCCUUCUACCAGGGCCUGACAGAAGAUUUGAGAGGCCAUGUUUAUGCACCAUCACGUACGUGUGCUAUGUCUGUGAUUUCUGAACACAGCUACCUUUACCCUAUCCCAGGAAAGACCGGUGUGAUGAAAAACACGGAACACAGUGCACAGCAGGAAUGCAGGAGUCUUGUUUGGGGUAUGGGUGAUGCUGAAGUGUGAGUGAGGACCAUACAAGUGUGCACACUGGUGCUUAGCCUGGCUCUGUGGCUGAGGUGCAGAGCUGCUCAGGUUGCUGUGACAUCCCCGCAGAGCUCUCCUGCUGCAGCACUCCGCAUCCUACCUUGAGACAGGCUCCAGAGAGUCACACCAUGCUCUGCAGAGCUGGACAGCUAAGCAGAGCACAGCAAAGGUGUCCAGUGACAGAGCACUGGGUGUAGGAGCUCCUGGCUGGGUUCUGACCUGAGCUGCUGGGCUGUCUCUGUGUCAUGCUCCCAAGUUUCUGCUGUCUGGUAAUGUUUUAGCCCAGGACUCCUGCCUAGAGCCUCUCCAAUGCUGGGCAGUGGGGCAGUUGAAGGGAAUGAUCCCACCCGUAAUUUAAAUACGCAAACCCACAGGAAUUCCAUCAUAAGGGUGUUGUCUGCUACAACUUCUUCUAGAAGUACUGAACUGUCUGUUAUGAUCAUACUAACUUUUCUUCUUGAUACCAGACUCAAGCUCUUUGGGAUUUUAUGAAUUUUUUAAUAUAUAGCUUAACAUACAUAUAUACUAAAUGGUGUUGUCAUGACCCAUUUUCUGUAAUGCGUCUAGUUGUGUGCUGGAUAUAAGAGUUUUAGGAACCUUGUUCACAAGUUAACGACAAAUCCAAGAGACCACAUAGUGCAGCACACUAAGCAAGAUUUCAUCUGUGACCUGUGUCAUGUGGUGUCCCCAAGCUCCUGAGGCUACAUGGGAAGACUGAAAUGCCAGACAUUAUAUUUUCAGAUAGGUCAAGAUGGACACUUGCAAACAUCUUUCUUGACUCCUGUUCUACAUUGUAAAUGCUACAAGAGUUCCCUAAGGAAUCCCACAAAAUAGAACAUUAGCUAGUGGCCACUCCUCCCUUCCCCUUACAUUAAUAAGUGUGAAAGAAGAGGUGCAGAGACAGACUCCAAAAACACAUUAGGAUCUCCUGAGAGAAGGUCCUGCAUGAACCUUCUCUGAUAUAUUGUUUAUUAAAUGUGGUCUGGAGAAAUAUGCAGAGUAUGUUUCUUUUCUAUCAAAUCAUGCUGCAUACCACAGAGGUUGCAGAGUUUUGUACAUGGCACAGGAGUAAAGCCAGAUUCAGGAGGCAUUCAGCAAAACCAACACAAAACUUGAUUGUUGGAUUUAUUUUCCCUCAUUGAAAAAACAGGUAAGGGUUCAGGAUAUCUAGUCUAGCAUCAUGCUAACUUUAAGCAACUAAUGCAGGAAAAUCUAUGAGGGGAAAUGACAAAUAGAGUUUCUGUGAGCACUACCUCUUGGGCUUUUUAUGUUUAGAUCUCUGUUUAA
Long non-coding RNA from Passer domesticus (house sparrow), 2944 nucleotides. RefSeq lists it as uncharacterized. The transcript is spliced from 3 exons. The record is from RefSeq and is a predicted model, not a curated record. NCBI's taxonomy places the organism in Eukaryota, Metazoa, Chordata, Aves, Passeriformes, Passeridae.